Molecule: ribosomal RNA, 459 nt
Filed under: uncultured bacterium
Lineage: Bacteria
Description: bacterial SSU rRNA
Rfam family: Bacterial small subunit ribosomal RNA
Source: RNAcentral
GAUGAACGCUGGCGGCAUGCCUAAAACAUGCAAGUCGAGCGGUAAGGCCCCUUCGGGGGUACACGAGCGGCGGACGGGUGAGUAACGCGUGGGAAUCUACCCCAAACUGAGGGAUAAGCAUUGGAAACGAUGUCUAAUACCGCGUACGGUCUUCGGAUUAAAGCUUCGGCGGUUUGGGAAGAGCCCGCGUAAGAUUAGCUAGUUGGUGAGGUAAAGGCUCACCAAGGCGACGAUCUUUAACUGGUUUGAGAGGAUGAUCAGUCACACUGGGACUGAGACACGGUCCAGACUCCUACGGGAGGCAGCAGUUAGGAAUUUUCCACAAUGGCGAAAGCCUGAUGGAGCAAUGCCGCGUGCAGGAUGAAGGCCCUAGGGUUGUAAACUGCUUUUAUACGUGAAGAAUAUGACGGUAACGUAUGAAUAAGGAUCGGCUAACUCCGUGCCAGCAGCCGCGGUAAU